CCUGCACAACAGGGCAGAGUAUGAGAGAACCAAGUGUGAUAUGAAGAUCGGGAGAAGAGAGCAUACUGUCUGUGAGAUCACAUGUUGUGACCUGGACUGUCGGACUAACCCCCUUGUGUACCGGACCGGAUUGGCUGAGAACCCGAGUGUGAGGAUUACCCCUGGAAAAAGGAACGGACAAAGAGAAUGGCUUGUGGAUUGUGCGGUGAUUGCGUCUGGACAAGGGAAAACAUAACGACAUCAAUGCUGACACAGAGAACAAACAAAGGAUCUGAUUUGGAAAAGUUGUAUUCCUGGUCGUAUUGCUGCGUCAUGUCAUGUGACGGAAUGCAGCAGCCAACAUACGAAGCAUCGGGGAGUACUGGCGUUCCGGUUGGUAUGGUGGCAUUGUCUCUGGGUCGCCACCGGGGGUGCCUAGCCAGCUCGUCGGGCUUCCACACCCUAGCUGGCUCGAGAGAUUUGGCUCGGCUGGAGCCCAUCCCACGCCGGGCCUCAGCCGGAUCAUCACUUCUUGUUCGCCCAGCCGGUCCAGGAGUUUUUGUUUUGUUGGUGAAGUCGGGGUGGAUUCCGUCUCCGAUAGAACCAGGGAUGUCUAAGCCAGCCUGUCGGGCUUCCACACCCUGGCUGGCUCGAGAGGUUUCCUUGCCUCUGUUGGCUUGGCGGCUUCCCUCCCACGUCAUUCUCCUCCGGAUCAUCGGGCUCCAUCUUACUGCAGCGAGAUCGACAGUUGUCUUGCCUUAGCCGGAUUGUCAAGCUCCCAUGCCUCAGCCAGCUAGCCAGGCUCUCACGCUCCUGCCGGUUCAUCGGGCUUCCACGCCCCAACCCGGCUUGCCCAGCGCCCAUGUCUCGGCUGGUUCACCCAGGUGGGAUGCCGUGUGUUGCCCCAAGAGGGGGGGUACUGUCACGUCUUCUCCCGCUCUUCCCUCCCCCUAGGGCUUGAGGGCGCCAGGUUGCUCUACAUCACUCCUGCCAUCCAUCACGCACACGUGCCUUCCCUCGUCACCUGCAUCAGCGUUAUUGGACUCACCUGGACUCACUUAUCACCUGUUAAUUUCCUCCCCUAUAUUUGUCAGUUCCCCAGCUAUGUUUCUUUAGUAUUAGUUUGCUGACGCUGUUUCUGUCUCGUUCCAUGUCCGUCUUUAUUAAAUGCUUCAUCUCUCCAGCGUCAUGUGACACAAGGACAGCGUCUAGACAAGGGAAAACAUAAUGACAUCAAUGCUGACACAGAGAACAGAGAACUCAGGAGCAGACAGAUAUAGAGGGGCAAUCAACAAAGUAAUGGAGUCCAGGUGAUUCUAAUAUUGCUCAGAUGCACUUAAUGAUGGUGACAGGUGUGCGUAAUGAUGGGCCACCUGGCGCCCUCGAGUGCCAGAGAGUGAGAGCAGGUGCAGGCGUGACAAUAACUUUAGCUAGCUGGCUAAAAUUGACUGACGGGACUGGAUUUUAGCUAGCUUGCGAACAUAAACAUUGCUAGCUAUUUUUUUUUACAAACUUGUCUAGCUAUUGUAAUUGCCAUCUCUCUAAAGUAAAUUUGAAUACAUGAUAAUGAUGGCAAAGUUGUUACCUACUAAUUACUUGCUUACUUUAGCCAUGACAUCAUAUUUCUAGGCCACUAUAGUGUCUCCUCAGAUAAGGUUAGCUAGAUUGCUAGCUACCAAAGUCUGUGAGCUAACUAAUGGUAGCUAGCUAACUAGCCUGUUGACUGUUGUUCAAGCUGCGACCAAGGUAGCCUACUUGGUUUUGCUGUGUCCUGUCUUUUUUAUGCUGUUUUUUUAA
Oncorhynchus gorbuscha (pink salmon) is the source of this 1776-nucleotide long non-coding RNA. RefSeq lists it as uncharacterized. The record is from RefSeq and is a predicted model, not a curated record. The transcript has 3 exons. Lineage: Eukaryota; Metazoa; Chordata; Actinopteri; Salmoniformes; Salmonidae.